This 495-nucleotide ribosomal RNA is filed under the name uncultured bacterium. RNAcentral's name for it is "bacterial SSU rRNA". It matches the Rfam family "Bacterial small subunit ribosomal RNA", at positions 17 to 507 of the family's 1533-position model. The record is from RNAcentral.
UCCUGGCUCAGGAUGAACGCUGGCGGGCGUGCCUAACACAUGCAAGUCGAACGAGAAUCAAUGGAUUGAGACUUCGGUUGAUUGAAGUUGAGGAAAGUGGCGAACGGGUGAGUAACGCGUGAGAAACCUGCCUUUCAGUGGGGGACAACAGUUGGAAACGACUGCUAAUACCGCAUAACACAUCGAGGAGGCAUCUCCUUGAUGUCAAAGGAGCAAUCCGCUGAAGGAUGGCCUCGCGUCUGAUUAGAUAGUUGGUGAGGUAACGGCUCACCAAGUCGACGAUCAGUAGCCGGACUGAGAGGUUGAACGGCCACAUUGGGACUGAGACACGGCCCAGACUCCUACGGGAGGCAGCAGUGGGGGAUAUUGCACAAUGGGGGAAACCCUGAUGCAGCAACGCCGCGUGAGGGAAGAAGGUUUUCGGAUUGUAAACCUCUGUUUUUAGUCAAGAAAAAAAUGACGGUAGCUAAAGAGGAAGCCACGGCUAACUACGUG